UGUUGUGGUGAUGUUAUCGUGCAGGCGACGGGGUGCACGGCGCGUGGGCGCAUGCAGCGUGAACGCGCACGGCACCGGGGAUUGGAUCGACGCGAGUAACGCAAACCCACGCACAUUUUUGGCACUUAAUGAUAGCUUCAUCGGUCUGAUGUUUUUUGCAGUGGCGCGGCUCACCGUGAAGUGCUACAAGCAUAAUUUAUCGUCACUAGACGAGCAAUCCGUGUCGCACUAGCCACCCCUUUGGAGCCGCCGUCCGCGGGACCCGGGAGAGCACCGAGGCCGGGGCUGUCCCGAGACCGGAGAGCGGCGCUCCGCGAGCUCCCGAAAC
RNAcentral lists this long non-coding RNA (328 nucleotides) under Dermacentor andersoni. Its description in RNAcentral is "uncharacterized LOC126545624". The record is from RNAcentral. Lineage: Eukaryota; Metazoa; Arthropoda; Arachnida; Ixodida; Ixodidae.